ACGAACGCUGGCGGCGUGCUUAACACAUGCAAGUCGCACGGAAAGGCCCUGCUUUUGUGGGGUGCUCGAGUGGCGAACGGGUGAGUAACACGUGAGUAACCUGCCCUUGACUUUGGGAUAACUUCAGGAAACUGGGGCUAAUACCGGAUAGGAGCUCCUGCUGCAUGGUGGGGGUUGGAAAGUUUCGGCGGUUGGGGAUGGACUCGCGGCUUAUCAGCUUGUUGGUGGGGUAGUGGCUUACCAAGGCUUUGACGGGUAGCCGGCCUGAGAGGGUGACCGGCCACAUUGGGACUGAGAUACGGCCCAGACUCCUACGGGAGGCAGCAGUGGGGAAUAUUGCACAAUGGGCGGAAGCCUGAUGCAGCAACGCCGCGUGCGGGAUCACGGCCUUCGGGUUGUAAACCGCUUUCGCCUGUGACGAAGCGUGAGUGACGGUAAUGGGUAAAGAAGCACCGGCUAACUACGUG
This 467-nucleotide ribosomal RNA is filed under the name uncultured bacterium. Its description in RNAcentral is "partial 16S ribosomal RNA". It matches the Rfam family "Bacterial small subunit ribosomal RNA", at positions 29 to 507 of the family's 1533-position model. The record is from RNAcentral.